UUUUAUCUCUUCUCUUUGGUUUUUGGAAGGUGCUAAGUCUUUUUUUCUGUCAAAUUUAUGGCUCUCCUUUGUCCCACGUGGGUAGGAGAGAGGCUUCUCUACUGCCCAGAGAAUGGGUUCACUCUCUCCACCUCCGAGAGAUUGUAAAUAACUUUUUGUUUUGGUAUUUUUGUGAUAGAUCUCUGUUUAGGGAGAGGGUCUCUUUGA
RNAcentral lists this unclassified non-coding RNA (207 nucleotides) under Hevea brasiliensis (rubber tree). Lineage: Eukaryota; Viridiplantae; Streptophyta; Magnoliopsida; Malpighiales; Euphorbiaceae. The record is from RNAcentral.